GACUCAAAUAAAUAGGCAAAAGAGUCGUUAUAUUACACAAUAAUCUUCUUUCAUCAAUUCUCAAUUCUCAAUUCUCACAUAUCUGUAUUAAAAACGAAAAUGGAAUUUAGAGUUUUGGAGAAAUAGAUAAACAACGGCGAAGAGGCAGCAUGGCAAAGGCUCAGCUACUGCGAGUGUAGAUUUGAAGGGGUUAGAUAUUAGUGUUUAGGAGUAGAUAUGUAUAUAUGUUGAAAAUAGUUGGGCCUUUAAUUAUUACCAGCAAAAUGUGAACUUUGGUCCUUAUACUAUUGAGUAUUGACAAAUCAUUAUCAUUUAUUCUUUUUAGUUGUCAUA
Molecule: long non-coding RNA, 333 nt
Organism: Capsicum annuum
Lineage: Eukaryota; Viridiplantae; Streptophyta; Magnoliopsida; Solanales; Solanaceae
Exons: 2
Source: RefSeq, a predicted model, not a curated record